This 459-nucleotide ribosomal RNA is filed under the name uncultured Pelotomaculum sp. RNAcentral's name for it is "bacterial SSU rRNA". It matches the Rfam family "Bacterial small subunit ribosomal RNA", at positions 925 to 1382 of the family's 1533-position model. Lineage: Bacteria; Bacillati; Bacillota; Clostridia; Eubacteriales; Desulfotomaculaceae. The record is from RNAcentral.
ACAAGCGGUGGAGCAUGUGGUUUAAUUCGACGCGACGCGAAGAACCUUACCAGGGCUUGACAUCCCCUGACCGCGUAUGAAAGUACGUUUUCACCCUCGGGUGACAGGGAGACAGGUGGUGCAUGGUUGUCGUCAGCUCGUGUCGUGAGAUGUUGGGUUAAGUCCCGCAACGAGCGCAACCCCUACGUUUAGUUGCUAACGCGUGAAGGCGAGCACUCUAGACGAACUGCCGUUGACAAAACGGAGGAAGGUGGGAUGACGUCAAAUCAUCAUGCCCCUUAUGUUCUGGGCUACACACGUGCUACAAUGGCCGGUACAGACGGACGCAAAGCCGCGAGGUGGAGCAAAUCCUAAAAAGCCGGUCUCAGUUCGGAUUGCAGGCUGCAAUUCGCCUGCAUGAAGUCGGAAUCGCUAGUAAUCGCAGGUCAGCAUACUGCGGUGAAUACGUUCCCGGGCCUU